Carassius gibelio (silver crucian carp) is the source of this 731-nucleotide long non-coding RNA. RefSeq lists it as uncharacterized. NCBI's taxonomy places the organism in Eukaryota, Metazoa, Chordata, Actinopteri, Cypriniformes, Cyprinidae. The record is from RefSeq and is a predicted model, not a curated record. The transcript is spliced from 2 exons.
UUACUCGACCACACAAAAGCUCUUCCUCUGCCAGUCACUCAGUCAGUUAGAGUCGGAGGGAGUUUGUGCAGCAUCAGCCUCUGAAAGAACACCACCACAACUGAAAUCAGCCAUGCAUCCUAUAUUGAUCGGCAUAGUGGCAGCCAACACUAGUUUAACUAUUGUCUACUGGAACUUUCUUCUGUCUCAGGUUUUCGGCAAGAAGAUCAGAGAUGGAGAACCGACUGAGGAAAUUCCCGCCUGAAUUGAGGCUCUGGUCGUGACCCUGGUGAUGAAGAGAAAGAAGAAGAACCACCAAAGACCAUCUUAGGAAAGGAAGUAGGGAUGAGGGAGAGAAUAUAAGAACAAAGAAGGAACAGACUGCCAUUUGACCCAGACGCGGACGGAUAGAAGCUAGGAUUUAAAUCUGCUGUAUUUGACAAAUCAUGAGGUUAAAAAGGUGUCCGUGAAUAGAUUUAUGAACAACCCUCUCUCUUUCAUCCAUUAGUCCACCUCCACAAGCCCCAAAUCCACACCCCCACCCAAAAAAUCUCUCUUUGUCAGUGCUGCUUAUUUUCACCUGUUCUAGUUACCAAAAAUCAUAGCUUAUGUAUCUGAAGUCUGUAGGCAGAUGUUUUUUUUUCACUAUAUUUAGCAAAACAGCUAACGUUACACAGGUUUUGUGAAAUUGUAUCUGUCUUACUCUUCUACAUGUGUCUCUUUCCCUCAAUAAUAAAUUAAUAUGUAGAGCA